CUGACCCCAAGGGCUGGCCCUGUGAAUUGCUCCCCUGGGGGUAACAGGCUCCGUUUGCUUACCGCGGAACAAUUCGAGGCAAAAUGUUGCUUUGUUCUUCACCGGUACGUGAUGCUGAGCGUCGUGUGCCUUGAACGUGUACAAGCGUGAUUCCUGCCACCAGUCGUCCGGGUGCAGCUCACAGUUCAGUUUGCAAGAGGUACCACCGCUUGGGAUGGAGGUGGAGGUUACCAACACUAACUACUCAUUCCUGCACCAGUUUCCUGGAUGGCUGAGCCACUUUAUUGACCAUUUUGUACAGGAAGAAAUAUGUGGAAAUAAUUUACCUGAAGAAAUGGCAAUUUGUGCUGUGCAUUCCACUACAUCUGCUAUGAAGCAGUACGAUAAGAAAUACACUUUAGUCUAACAGUUCUAAUGGUUCGGAGUGCUAGACCAUGAAUCCCUUCUGCACCUAGAGAGGCAUUUGUCUUUACAAAAAGCUCUAUCUGAACAAUUCAUGACAGUUAAUAAAGAAAGCACUUCGAGUCCUGACA
This 533-nucleotide long non-coding RNA is filed under the name Anser brachyrhynchus (Pink-footed goose). RNAcentral describes it as "lncRNA (ENSABRG00000003440.1)". The record is from RNAcentral. Lineage: Eukaryota; Metazoa; Chordata; Aves; Anseriformes; Anatidae.